RNAcentral lists this unclassified non-coding RNA (3146 nucleotides) under Hevea brasiliensis (rubber tree). Lineage: Eukaryota; Viridiplantae; Streptophyta; Magnoliopsida; Malpighiales; Euphorbiaceae. The record is from RNAcentral.
CUUUAACAUUAAUAUCUUCAUUUUAUUUGAAAAAUAUGGAAAAUAGAAAUUAGAUCCCAAAGUAACAACCUUUUCGAUCUUUGAAUUGCACCUAUCCCUAAAACACCCCAACUACUAGUACUUAAAGAAGAUUCGCGUUAAUUUUUAGUUUUGUACAAUGCACUUAAUGCAUUAAAAUAAAAAUAUGAGCACCCAAAUCCCUUGAAAGAAGUAAUACAUCAGUGUCAGGAACACUGGGUGACUUUAUCUUUCAAAGUCUAAGAAUGCAAAGUUCACAAACUCUCAGGAAAUGUUGGUCGACAAUAAUGUAUUCAAGGGAACGAAAUUAUCCCAAUUACAAAUGUAUUUCUACAGUAUUCAUUUUUCUCCUAAUAUGAUGGAGGAUCUGGAUUGAAUUUCACUGAUUCCCUCCAAAUGAGUUCCUUGAUGUGCUCUUCAGUACAUGAUGGGAGCUCAAAAUCAAAAUGAAAAGGCCUGGGACAGACCGGCUCAUCAUUGAUAUCAUGGAGAGAUGACAAGUAUGGGUGACAAAGUGCCUCAUCAACUGUAAUGCGCUUAUUGGGAUCAAAAACAAGCAUUUUUUCCAGCAGAUCAGCAGCCCCAGUAGACACAUUAGGAAACCUAACUGAGAAAUUCUUCUUUCUGUAUUGUGGAAGCUGUCUAACAUAUCUUCGGGCAUUAUCACUUCGGAGAAAACCAAGGCUAGCGUCAUCAGGUGAACCUAUUAACUUUUAGACAAAAAGAAAAACAAAUGCAUGUAUGAUUUUGCUAUUAACAACUUAAUGAAAGAAAAACGAAAUUUCCCCUUAUUAAUCCAUAGAAAACACCACAUGCAAAAGAGCUUCCAUGAAACAAAAUGUUAGCUUUACCAAAUAGUCUAAUGUUUUGCUUGACGACUCUUGCAAAUGUAAUAAUCAUUUGCCCUGCUUUCUACAAAUUUAGAGGUUCAAAAGAAACUUUGGAACUGGGAACCUGCCCACCAGAUAACAUUGCUCUUUUUAACUCCAAAUUUACACACUAUAAGUAAUUAAUGGUUAAAUGAAAGAAUAAACACCAAGUGACUAGACAUGUGUUCUACUAUAGUAGCGUGUAAGUUUUAUUUUCUUCAGGAAGAGAGAGAAAGAAGGGGUGGGGGGAGACAAAACAGGCUGCCUUUUUUCAAUUUGUAAAAACUAAUAACAUACUAGCUCCAAAACUCAUACCUCUGUAAUAAGCCUCAGCUGGUGAACAUAAUCUUUCCCGGGAAACAAAGGUUCUCUGGUCAUAAUCUCACCAAGGAUGCAACCAACAGACCAAAUAUCAAUUGCAGCCGUGUACUCAGAACAAUUAAGGAGCAAUUCUGGUGCUCGGUACCAACGAGUAACAACGUACUCAGUCAUGAAAUCUGUUUCAGAUGUUGUCCUUGCCAAUCCAAAGUCUCCAAUUUUGAGAUCACAAUUUGCAUUGAGAAGCAAAUUGCUGGGCUUAAGAUCACGAUGCAGGACAUUGGCGGAAUGCACAUAUUUCAGCCCUCUUAACAACUGAUACAAGAAGUACUGCAAAGAUUUGAUUGAGAAGAUAUCAAAUUCAAACUUUAAUAGACAUUGUUUCUGGCUUUCAAUCAAGCUGCAAUAAGCACCAAUUUUUUGCUUAUUCCCUUUCUUAUCAGCCUUGCUUUAUGUGAUCUUGUGUCUAUUAGAGAAAGACUAAGGGUUCGAGGUAUAUUAUAAAUUAUAGAUUCUGACAAUGUGAUCAGAGAGUUCAUCAAUCAGCAAGACAGCACCUGAUGAGCUAUAUGGUUUUCAGCUAAACUAAUCAGAAGGCAAAAAAACCAACAAGUUAUUCUGGGUGCCAAACCUGACAAUGAUCAUCAGUCAGCAGUUGAUCUGAACGAAUAAUGUGAUGAAGAUCAGUGUCCAUCAAUUCAGAAACAAUGUACACAUCAUUGAAAGCCUCCUUUUUUGGUGGCCGUAUAAUGUCCCUCAUGGCAAUAACCUGUACAAGGGAAAUAGGGGCAAAACUAAACAUAAUAAUGGGAAGAAAUGGAAGAGUGAUGAUGUAUAACCACCUCCAAACAUACAUAUAAAGGUAAACCCACAAAGCCACAGGGAAGAGCAGAAGUGGUGUAUAAAAGGAGUCUGGUUCAAUUGCAAGGAUGCUAUCGAUAAAAAGCAAUUAUUGGUAUGUACAAAGUAUUCUAGUUCAAAACAUGGACCGCAAAUUGGUGUAUUUAACAGAGACACAAAUCCCCUUUCCUGAAUCUAUACUGUUAACAGUUUCUUAAAACAAAUAAAUGCUUAAAAGCCCUAUCAUUCUACGCAUGCAUUUAGUACUAAAAAUACAGCUAGUGUGUCCUGUAUUAAUAUGAUAUCAAUAUUAGGAAUUUAGGAUAGACCACAACUCCAUUUGUGCAUCUUGAAUUUUGGGAUAAGAGAGAAAUGACCAUGGCAAAAAACAAGCAGGAAAAACAGAAAGCAUGUAGGCAAUAAUAAAAUUUGGAAAUUCAAGGCUUACUGAAAAUUACAUUUUCAUGGUCCAUGUGGCGAAGAAGCUUAAUCUCUCUCAACGUUCUUUUGGCAUCUAUUCUGUUGUCAAAAGCAUUACCAAUCUUCUUAAUGGCAACUUCCUCACGUGUCUCUGAAUUCACAGCAGCACUGAGAAGAAAGCAUUUGUAUAUUACCACUCCUUCCACCACACAGUAAAUGGUAUAACAAAUGGACAAAAAGAUAUGGUUUUCAUGGAGUUUCUUAAUGGGAAAAGAGCAUCUUUAGACAGUUUCUCAAACUUAUCAAUCGUUUCAACAUACAUUAUAAGUGGGAAAAGGUAAUCGAAGCCAUAUUUACCAAAGCUCCAAAAAGGAAAAAUAUCCCACACAUAAAAUCUAUGCACUUAUCAAAGACAUACAUAACUUAAUGAGAAUGAUCAAUAAGAACAAAUAUAUUUGGCAACUGCUACAUGAAUAUGAAAAUUAUCCAUUUGUCUCAUCCGGAAAUAAACAAUAGAAACAUGCUCUUUCCACACCCUUUAUGUAUCGAAAACCCUUUUUGGGCGGUAAUUGCCUCCCAAUCCUUGAUAAAUUGUGUAAAUCCUGCUGAAAGACUAUUAAUUAUACUAUUCAAGAUAUCAAACAACAAGGUUAACAAAAAAGGUUAAUUAAAAUAACAGUA